RNAcentral lists this ribosomal RNA (1443 nucleotides) under Escherichia coli. RNAcentral's name for it is "partial 23S ribosomal RNA". It matches the Rfam family "Bacterial large subunit ribosomal RNA", at positions 1521 to 2925 of the family's 2925-position model. The record is from RNAcentral. Lineage: Bacteria; Pseudomonadati; Pseudomonadota; Gammaproteobacteria; Enterobacterales; Enterobacteriaceae.
UAGGCUGGUUUUCCAGGCAAAUCCGGAAAAUCAAGGCUGAGGCGUGAUGACGAGGCACUACGGUGCUGAAGCGACAAAUGCCCUGCUUCCAGGAAAAGCCUCUAAGCAUCAGGUAACAUCAAAUCGUACCCCAAACCGACACAGGUGGUCAGGUAGAGAAUACCAAGGCGCUUGAGAGAACUCGGGUGAAGGAACUAGGCAAAAUGGUGCCGUAACUUCGGGAGAAGGCACGCUGAUAUGUAGGUGAAGCGACUUGCUCGUGGAGCUGAAAUCAGUCGAAGAUACCAGCUGGCUGCAACUGUUUAUUAAAAACACAGCACUGUGCAAACACGAAAGUGGACGUAUACGGUGUGACGCCUGCCCGGUGCCGGAAGGUUAAUUGAUGGGGUUAGCGGUAACGCGAAGCUCUUGAUCGAAGCCCCGGUAAACGGCGGCCGUAACUAUAACGGUCCUAAGGUAGCGAAAUUCCUUGUCGGGUAAGUUCCGACCUGCACGAAUGGCGUAAUGAUGGCCAGGCUGUCUCCACCCGAGACUCAGUGAAAUUGAACUCGCUGUGAAGAUGCAGUGUACCCGCGGCAAGACGGAAAGACCCCGUGAACCUUUACUAUAGCUUGACACUGAACAUUGAGCCUUGAUGUGUAGGAUAGGUGGGAGGCUUUGAAGUGUGGACGCCAGUCUGCAUGGAGCCGACCUUGAAAUACCACCCUUUAAUGUUUGAUGUUCUAACGUGGGCCCCUUACCGGGGUUGCGGACAGUGUCUGGUGGGUAGUUUGACUGGGGCGGUCUCCUCCUAAAGAGUAACGGAGGAGCACGAAGGUUGGCUAAUCCUGGUCGGACAUCAGGAGGUUAGUGCAAUGGCAUAAGCCAGCUUGACUGCGAGCGUGACGGCGCGAGCAGGUGCGAAAGCAGGUCAUAGUGAUCCGGUGGUUCUGAAUGGAAGGGCCAUCGCUCAACGGAUAAAAGGUACUCCGGGGAUAACAGGCUGAUACCGCCCAAGAGUUCAUAUCGACGGCGGUGUUUGGCACCUCGAUGUCGGCUCAUCACAUCCUGGGGCUGAAGUAGGUCCCAAGGGUAUGGCUGUUCGCCAUUUAAAGUGGUACGCGAGCUGGGUUUAGAACGUCGUGAGACAGUUCGGUCCCUAUCUGCCGUGGGCGCUGGAGAACUGAGGGGGGCUGCUCCUAGUACGAGAGGACCGGAGUGGACGCAUCACUGGUGUUCGGGUUGUCAUGCCAAUGGCACUGCCCGGUAGCUAAAUGCGGAAGAGAUAAGUGCUGAAAGCAUCUAAGCACGAAACUUGCCCCGAGAUGAGUUCUCCCUGAGACUUAGAGUCUCCUGAAGGAACGUUGAAGACGACGACGUUGAUAGGCCGGGUGUGUAAGCGCAGCGAUGCGUUGAGCUAACCGGUACUAAUGAACCGUGAGGCUUAACCUUACAACGCCGAAG